GAUGAACGCUGGCGGCGUGCUUAACACAUGCAAGUCGAGCGAAGCAUAGAUGUGGAAGUUUUCGGAUGGAAGCGUGUAUGACUGAGCGGCGGACGGGUGAGUAACGCGUGGGUAACCUGCCUCAUACAGGGGGAUAACAGUUAGAAAUGACUGCUAAUACCGCAUAAGCGCACAGGACCGCAUGGUCCGGUGUGAAAAACUCCGGUGGUAUGAGAUGGACCCGCGUCUGAUUAGCUGGUUGGUGAGGUAACGGCCCACCAAGGCGACGAUCAGUAGCCGACCUGAGAGGGUGGCCGGCCACAUUGGGACUGAGACACGGCCCAA
Molecule: ribosomal RNA, 324 nt
Filed under: uncultured bacterium
Lineage: Bacteria
Description: bacterial SSU rRNA
Rfam family: Bacterial small subunit ribosomal RNA
Source: RNAcentral